GAUGAACGCUGGCGGCGUGCUUAACACAUGCAAGUCGAACGGAAAGGCUCCUGCUUGCAGGGGUACUCGAGUGGCGAACGGGUGAGUAACACGUGGGUGAUCUGCCCUGCACUUCGGGAUAAGCCUGGGAAACUGGGUCUAAUACCGGAUAGGACGAUGGUUUGGAUGCCAUUGUGGAAAGUUUUUCGGUGUGGGAUGAGCUCGCGGCCUAUCAGCUUGUUGGUGGGGUAAUGGCCUACCAAGGCGUCGACGGGUAGCCGGCCUGAGAGGGUGUACGGCCACAUUGGGACUGAGAUACGGCCCAGACUCCUACGGGAGGCAGCAGUGGGGAAGAGUGCACAAUGGGCGCAAGCCUGAUGCAGCGACGCCGCGUGGGGGAUGACGGCCUUCGGGUUGUAAACUCCUUUCGCUAGGGACGAAGCGUUUUGUGACGGUACCUGGAGAAGAAGCACCGGCUAACUACGUG
RNAcentral lists this ribosomal RNA (466 nucleotides) under uncultured bacterium. RNAcentral's name for it is "partial 16S ribosomal RNA". It matches the Rfam family "Bacterial small subunit ribosomal RNA", at positions 28 to 507 of the family's 1533-position model. The record is from RNAcentral.